RNAcentral lists this long non-coding RNA (1429 nucleotides) under Homo sapiens (human). Its description in RNAcentral is "long intergenic non-protein coding RNA 635". The record is from RNAcentral. Lineage: Eukaryota; Metazoa; Chordata; Mammalia; Primates; Hominidae.
GUCUCUGUGUGGUCUCUUCAGCAUAGCAACAGCAGCGUAGCUGAACAUCUUACGGAUGGCCCAGGGCUCCAAAGGCUCGUUUCCUAAGUGAGAGAGAGCCUGGCUGAAGCUGUAUUACCAUUCAUUCUCCAGCCUCCGAAGUCUCAAAGCAUCACUUCCACCAUACUCUAACUGUCAAGACAAACACAAAGGCCCAGAGAAGGGGUCUCACUAUGUUGUCUGGAGUGCUGUGGUGGAGUGGAGUGGCUAUUCACAGAGCCUGUUCUGCUGGGACACAGAAUCACUUGCUCCAUCUCAUACAUUGAUGAUGAUUAAUUUGUAUGUGUACCUUCCAAAAAAGAUGGUUGUGUUUGAAUGGAGGCCUUCUGGACAGGAAAAUUGCAAAGUACAAUUAACAUUUGAGUCUGUCUGAGUCAUGAAGAAAUGGAGAUUACUGAAAAUAAUUCAUUUUGGUAUCUUCUUACAUCCUGAGAGACUAAUCUUUCCAAGUUCAUCUGAGGCUCCUCUUCUCCAUGACAACCUCAUCCAGGGAUUUCUUCCUGUCCUGGUGUUUUAUGACAUAAUCACAUCCUUCCUGAGAUAAUGAGCACACAAUUGCCUGGAUACCUGAAGGAAUGGAGACAGCGGCAGAAAACACUGCAGAGAGGUGGAAACAUCCGUUAAUAUUUUAAAAUCCCAUUACUGCUACCAACAAUAAUAAUGGAUGCAUAGAAAUAGAUCUGGAUUAGCUGAGCUUGAAACAGUCCAUCUCACACACACACAAAAGAAUUUCAGAUACAGUGAACCCACAUGUUGAAGCUUUCUAGUAUAAUAAAAAUUUCAACUGUUCUGUUGAAUCAUCUGCCUGAUUGGAGGCUACAGAAAAGAUGUCAUCUUAGGAGUGCUUGCUCUGAGUGAGGCUCAUCUUCAAAUCUGAAUGACCACAAGGAGAUUUGAUUAUACAUGUGAACACCUCAGAAGGCACAGCCCACCCAGAAGGCAGACAGGUCAGGCUGCUUUUUCUUCAUUGCUUGGAUUCAAUCCUCCGGGCGGCUCAGGCUCAAACAUAACUUAAGCAUGAUUAAACUUUAGAAGAAGCUGCCAGGAAGACUGUGAAAUCUUCAUGCCCAAGGAUCCCUAAAAUUAGGAGCAACAACCACUUGGCUCAGACGGUUUAUGGAGGCAAAGGUUUGGAUGGGAUUAGAGAUUUCUAAAUGUGAGUUCGUGUCCUCUGCCAGACCACCUUACUUCCACCAUUCCUCAGCAAAUCAAGAAAAACAGGAGAAAAGACAUGCCUUUCCAUAAGUUAAAUCUAUUCUGUUUUAAUUCUAUAUUAUAUCUGCUGUACAACUUCUUUUGUUUGUAACACCAUAUUGUUGCUAGUAACUGGAAAUUAAUUUUCACAUGCCUCAGCUUAGAAAAAUAAAAAGCAGCCCUGCAUCAAUCCCAA